RNAcentral lists this long non-coding RNA (340 nucleotides) under Capsicum annuum. RNAcentral describes it as "long non-coding RNA (CANN_LNC014992)". Lineage: Eukaryota; Viridiplantae; Streptophyta; Magnoliopsida; Solanales; Solanaceae. The record is from RNAcentral.
AAAAAAAAAAAAAAAAUGGCCAAAAUUUAAUUGCCAGAUUUUUCUGCAAUUUUUGCAAAUGCAUAAAAAGAAAGAACUUUUUCGCACUUAUUAUAUAAACAUCUUCGUGAACUUCAACGAGCACAGAUGUAAAAUAUGAAAAACCUAAAAUCUUAAUCCAUCAACUGAAAAAAAAAAAUCCACCAAAAUUUAAUUGCUAGAUUUUUCGGCAAAGUUCAUAUAACGAAAGCACUUUUUCGCACUCAUAAUAUAAACAUCUCCAUGAAAAUCAACAAAAAUGCUAAAACCCAGAUAUAAAAAUAUUUAAAAAAUUAAAAAAAAAAAAAAAAAAAAAAAACUU